RNAcentral lists this ribosomal RNA (253 nucleotides) under uncultured bacterium. Its description in RNAcentral is "partial 16S ribosomal RNA". It matches the Rfam family "Bacterial small subunit ribosomal RNA", at positions 524 to 776 of the family's 1533-position model. The record is from RNAcentral.
UACGUAGGGAGCAAGCGUUGUCCGGAAUUACUGGGCGUAAAGGGCUCGUAGGUGGCCAACUAAGUCAGACGUGAAAUCCCUCAGCUUAACUGGGGAACUGCGUCUGAUACUGGAUGGCUUGAGUUUGGGAGAGGGAUGCGGAAUUCCAGGUGUAGCGGUGAAAUGCGUAGAUAUCUGGAGGAACACCGGUGGCGAAGGCGGCAUCCUGGACCAAUACUGACACUGAGGAGCGAAAGCCAGGGGAGCAAACGGG